Molecule: transfer RNA, 85 nt
Filed under: Methylotuvimicrobium alcaliphilum 20Z
Lineage: Bacteria; Pseudomonadati; Pseudomonadota; Gammaproteobacteria; Methylococcales; Methylococcaceae
Description: Methylomicrobium alcaliphilum 20Z tRNA
Rfam family: tRNA
About the family: Transfer RNA (tRNA) molecules are approximately 80 nucleotides in length.
Source: Rfam by way of RNAcentral
GGAGAGAUGGCCGAGUGGUCGAAGGCGCACGCCUGGAAAGUGUGUAUACGGCAACGUAUCGAGGGUUCGAAUCCCUCUCUCUCCG